Molecule: small nucleolar RNA, 138 nt
Organism: Tachyglossus aculeatus (Australian echidna)
Lineage: Eukaryota; Metazoa; Chordata; Mammalia; Monotremata; Tachyglossidae
Source: RefSeq, a predicted model, not a curated record
ACCCUCUCAGGGUCACACCUGGAGAGUUUCCAGUACUCUACUAGUCCUGGCUAUGGCGGGGAGAAUCAAGCAGAGACCUGUCCAUUCCAUUCCUAGCUUGGCCAGUGGCUAGUGAGUGGAAGACAAUCUGCUACAAGU